GACGAACGCUGGCGGCGUGCUUAACACAUGCAAGUCGAGCGGAAAGGCCCUUCGGGGUACUCGAGCGGCGAACGGGUGAGUAACACGUGAGUAACCUGCCCUGGACUUUGGGAUAACCCUCGGAAACGGGGGCGUAAUACCGAAUACGCCUACUGGUUGCAUGACUGGUGGUGGAAAGUUUUUCGGUCUGGGAUGGCUCGCGGCCUAUCAGCUUGUUGGUGGGGUGAUGGCCUACCAAGGCGACGACGGGUAGCCGGCCUGAGAGGGCGACCGGCCACACUGGGACUGAGACACGGCCCAGACUCCUACGGGAGGCAGCAGGUGGGGAAUAUUGGGUCAAUGGACGCAAGUCUGAACCAGCCAUGCCGCGUGAAGGAUGAAGGUCCUCUGGAUUGU
RNAcentral lists this ribosomal RNA (396 nucleotides) under uncultured bacterium. RNAcentral describes it as "bacterial SSU rRNA". It matches the Rfam family "Bacterial small subunit ribosomal RNA", at positions 28 to 426 of the family's 1533-position model. The record is from RNAcentral.